AUAUAAUAAUGCUGAUGUGGUGUCAUGUCCUCUGAUUUCUGUGUGAGACAAACGCACUCAUAUUUCUGCUACAUGGGAAACUUUAAGGUUAGGGUGCAUACAUACUCUGCUUUAAAUAAACAGCAGGAGAUUGAGCACCAGUGACUUGACACCUACAGCUGACAAAGCUGCAAGCAGGGUUCAUACCUGCGCAAGAAAACCCCGCUGGAUUUAGAGUCCGACGCCUCAAAGUGAUUUAAGGAAACACUAGGCUAUUCUACUGGAGCGGACGGACGUGUUUGUCCGUGUUAGACCCUUCUUCAACAACAACUUCUCAGUCUCGUUUAUAUUCUCAGGUUUCCGCACGUGGACGCCCUCUUCAGUACGUUCACUUCAGUCAAGUAAUUAGUAAUUAAUCUGAAUUAAUUAAUCAUCUGAAUAGAGUUCCCUCUGCAUUACGACGCAGUUUCAUAACAGGCUUCAAGUUGCACAGGUGAAACCCCAGUGUAGUUCAAGUCCAGUGCCCUUUUCUCUCUGCAGUCGGCAAGAUAGUGCACACGAGUUAGUUGACACAGACCGCUGACAUGCCUUGAGCAGGCUUCAAGUUGCGUAGGGGAGACCCCAGUGCAUUCCAAGUCCAGUGCCAUGUUCUCUUGGCCAUCAGAGGAAGGGAGCAUGAGACAAGACUUAAGUGCAUUUCCUUGGUUCAUUUAUGUUCUGAUGGUUUAUGUUUUGAUCGUUUCAAUGUGCCAACCUUCUUUACCAGCCGUAAUCACGAUGGAGAAUGAGACAAGGCUUAAGAGUGACUCCAAGGCUCAUUUACGUUUUGAUCGCGCAUGGUUGCAAGUUUCCAAAGUGUCAUGGGUCUUUUCAAAUGGCUUCAUGUUUCAAUUAUAAUGAAGCAUUUGUUCAAACAAAAAUGUUUGCAGUCCUUUAAGGAUCAUUGUAACUGAUGAUGUUGUUGUUGUUAUUAUUAUUAUUAUUAUUAUUAUUAUUAAUAAUAAUAAUAAUGCUAAUGCUGAUGUGGUGUCCUGUCCUCUGAUUUGUGUGUGUGAGAGAAACACACUCACAUUUCUGUUACAUGGUAAAGAGUAAGUGUGUUAUGGCUGUGUGUGUGUUUGAGGUCAGUCUUCUGAUACUUCAUCAUUUCUCUUCCAGUCUGCGUGUGUGUGUAAACUGACAGAGGAAAGCUGUAGAGUUCUGUCCUCAGUUCUCAGAUCAAACUCCUCCAGACUGAGAGAACUGAACCUGAGUGACAAUAACCUGCAGGAUUCAGGAGUGAAGCUGCUCUCUGCUGGACUGGAGAAUCCACACUGUACACUGGAGAUACUGAGGAUGUGGAACUGCAGGAUUACAGAUGAAGGUUGUGCUGCUCUGACUUCUGCUCUGAGGUCAAACUCCUCAUCACACCUGAGAGAACUGGAUCUGAAGAAUAAUAAUCCAGGAGAAUCAGCAGUGAAGCUGCUCUCUGAUCUACUGAAGGAUCCACACUGUAACCUGGAGACACUACACAUUAAGGGUAAUAAACUCACCAGGACUGGCGUAUGACAGGAGUCUCACCUCAAACCUCUUCUCCAGGAUAACGCAGUCUUGGUGAAGAGUUAGAACCCGUCCCACAUUUCCAGCAGUUUGGGAGCUGAAUCAUUAAACUUAAAGGGGCAGAGCAGAAACAAAGUCAAGAACAGGGAGAAGGUCGUACACAGGAGAAAUCAACACACGUAACCAAAUAUCUGCUGCACAAAGCAACGGCACCGAUCUGCCCCGGGGAUGGAGACUGACGAGGCUUAAGUACACGUCCGGAAAUGUACAGCCAACCCAUCCCAAAGCACGAGGCGGGAGCAGGCGUGUACGAGAUGUGAUCGUCCAAUGGCCAGCAGGAACAUGACGCGUCGCAGUGGACUGGGCUUAAAAGAGGAGGAGACAAGACACCCAUCCCUCCCCCGACAUAGACAGAUGGAACAUAGUACAAACAGAAAUACAACUGAGGACGUAACAAUGGUCAAGUAUCAAAUAAAAUGUAAACUUGCA
Molecule: long non-coding RNA, 2007 nt
Organism: Ictalurus punctatus (channel catfish)
Lineage: Eukaryota; Metazoa; Chordata; Actinopteri; Siluriformes; Ictaluridae
Exons: 3
Source: RefSeq, a predicted model, not a curated record